RNAcentral lists this ribosomal RNA (252 nucleotides) under uncultured bacterium. Its description in RNAcentral is "partial 16S ribosomal RNA". It matches the Rfam family "Bacterial small subunit ribosomal RNA", at positions 524 to 776 of the family's 1533-position model. The record is from RNAcentral.
UACGUAGGGUGCAAGCGUUGUCCGGAAUUAUUGGGCGUAAAGAGCUCGUAGGCGGUUUGUCGCGUCUGCUGUGAAAACCCGAGGCUCAACCUCGGCCUGCAGUGGGCACGGGCAGACUAGAGUGCGGUAGGGGAGAUUGGAAUUCCUGGUGUAGCGGUGGAAUGCGCAGAGUAUCAGGAGGAACACCAAUGGCGAAGGCAGAUCUCUGGGCCGUAACUGACGCUGAGGAGCGAAAGCAUGGGAGCGAACAGG